Balaenoptera ricei (Rice's whale) is the source of this 1834-nucleotide long non-coding RNA. RefSeq lists it as uncharacterized. Lineage: Eukaryota; Metazoa; Chordata; Mammalia; Artiodactyla; Balaenopteridae. The transcript has 2 exons. The record is from RefSeq and is a predicted model, not a curated record.
AGCCAAUCCCCGCGGGGUGGGCGGGGCGAGCGCGAGCCCAGCUCGGGUGGUAAAUAGAGUACAGCAGGACCCUCCCUUUAAGGUGUCCCCCGACGAAGCCUCUACACCUCGGAGCUUUCAGCAUCCCUAAAAUCACAGCGACACAGGCUAGGUCUGCACAGCAGAGGGAAAGUCACCACCGUUCCCUGCGCCUCACGGAAUGUCAUCAAGAUAGAAAGCAUUUCUGAAGAAAGUGAAAACGCAAAUAAGUUUGCCAUCGACAAGUGACUUCUGUAGCGUGAGUUCGGUCUCAUAAGAUAAGGAAAAGCUUUGUAAAAAACAAAACCAAAACCAAAAACACCCACGCGCGCAUUCAGCGACAGGUUUAGUGUGGGAUCGUGCAACCCGGAGCAACGCAGGAGGCAUUAUUGUAAACUCUGUAAAAUGAGUACUUAUCGGAAACCAUGCUGAUCGCUAAGGAGCUCUGAGAGGCAAGACUCUGGGUUCCUUUUCUGUAACUGGGAAGGCUAUUAUAAUGAUCCUAGUAAUCGGAAAUCAUUAGGAAAACUUGUAUACUGAAGCUGUAUUUAUAUUCGCUGCCCUUGAGAGGCUGCCGAUCUGUGUUCUGCAAUGUAGGUGGCAAAGUAAGGUGAUUAAUUAUGCACAGAUCGUGAUUUCUGGUGUCACAUUCCAGCGCCUGCUGUAUUUUUAAAUUUUUGUAUAGGUAGGUGGCCCCAGCCAUUGGUCGCUAUCUUCACACUUUUUAAGAAAAAAAAAAUCUGUCAGGUACCAGGUUGGGAAUCUUUUCAGCACUAGGACUGGAGGCAGCUUCAGUUUGUGUCUCCCCCGCCCUUUUUUUUCCUAGACAUAUUUUAAGACCUCAUUCCUGCGGUCUAAAUAAAAAGUUUGCAGUUAUUUACUCAAAUCCUUUUCAAUAAAUUCACACAUAAUUCUAGCUUAAGACUACAGUAAAUGUGUGUUUUGAAAUCAUAUUUCUCUAGAAUAUGCUAGAAAAUCUGAGAAAAGAUUAUAUUGGUAAGUUUACUUUUUUGUCUCAAUCUCCAUCCAUCUCCUCUGCAUUUAAGAAAGAGGAAGAGGGCAGAACUGGAGAAAAAGCAAAGCUUAAUAAUGGGGACACAGUAUUUUUUCCUUCAGUGAAUGAUUAAUUCCUCGCCGGUGAGCCAGCUGGUCUGGUCUGGGACACCAAUUGCAGCCAUGUGCCUGCCCCACAGCUUCUCUUUAGGGAGGGAGAGUUGGUGGCGCUAGGGUGGAUGUCACUUUCAGAAAAUCCAGCCACUUCAGUUUGGAGCGUGGAGAUGGUGGUUUCCUGACCAGCAGAGAAAUCUGCUCAGGGCCUGGCCGGGCAAAGGCUGCCUGCGACUCUGUUCCUGACAGUAUUCGAUUAACAACCUCUUCUCUGAUAUUAAGUCUGGAAAUGAUUUCAUACCCGAGUCCCCGACAGUUCGAGCCUUUUGAUGUACUUUGUGUGCAUGUGUUUCUGUCACAUACGUGCCACAGUGGAACAGAUUUUGUUUUGACACUAUUUUGGUUCAUGAUGUUAUACUUUGACUAUUUUACGAUAAUAGCCAACGUAAACAAACAUCUUUGGGAUUCUCAAAUUAUUACUUGUGAUUCUUGGACAUUGCAGCUCUGAGAUACUGACGCGUUCCUAGCUUUUUCCAAGGACACCGUAUGUUAACAUCCGUGCCAGCCUCAUUAUCCCUACAGUCAGGCUCUGGGCUGGUUCCUAAUGAGCGUUGUGCAGGAUUACUUUACACACUUGCAAAGCUGAUUGAGGCACUGCCUUCUCCCAUGAUCAUUUUUGUACCCUGAUGCAGUAAAAUGGCUAAAUAUG